RNAcentral lists this ribosomal RNA (253 nucleotides) under uncultured bacterium. Its description in RNAcentral is "partial 16S ribosomal RNA". It matches the Rfam family "Bacterial small subunit ribosomal RNA", at positions 524 to 776 of the family's 1533-position model. The record is from RNAcentral.
UACGGGGGGGGCAAGCGUUGUUCGGAAUUACUGGGCGUAAAGGGCUCGUAGGCGGCCAACUAAGUCAGACGUGAAAUCCCUCGGCUUAACCGGGGAACUGCGUCUGAUACUGGAUGGCUUGAGUUCGGGAGAGGGAUGUGGAAUUCCAGGUGUAGCGGUGAAAUGCGUAGAUAUCUGGAGGAACACCGGUGGCGAAGGCGGCAUCCUGGACCGACACUGACGCUGAGGAGCGAAAGCUAGGGGAGCAAACGGG